Hevea brasiliensis (rubber tree) is the source of this 451-nucleotide long non-coding RNA. RefSeq lists it as uncharacterized. Lineage: Eukaryota; Viridiplantae; Streptophyta; Magnoliopsida; Malpighiales; Euphorbiaceae. The record is from RefSeq and is a predicted model, not a curated record. The transcript has 3 exons.
UCUUUCACUUUGUUUGGUUUCUUAGGGUUUACUUGAACCAAGCCUACAGGCCUUAAGACUUGGUGGGAAUCCAUUGAGAAGCAUCCAAAGGAUAAUUUUAGAUAGAGGAACAAAAGCUGUUCUGAAGUAUUUAAAGGACAAAAUUCCAGAGCAGUAGCAUUGUUCAUAUCACCCUGAUACUCCAGGCUGAUCGUAUGUGGAUGUAUAAUAGACUUGUGCCAAGUCGGAAAGGGGUCAUUACUGAGUUCAUUAAUGGUGUGCGUGGAUUUAUAGAGUUUGCACUAACGCAACACAACUUUGUUUCUAAUGGGAGUAUAAAAGUGCCCAUGUUCAAGAUGUGAAAAUAGUGGGUUUCUCACAACAGAUAUUAUUGCUGCGCAUUUAUACAAGUUUGGGUUCAUGCCUAACUAUUAUCAUUGGGUUUCACAUGGGGAGCCUUUUAUACCAAUUU